This is a non-coding RNA of Macaca mulatta (Rhesus monkey), 601 nucleotides long. NCBI's taxonomy places the organism in Eukaryota, Metazoa, Chordata, Mammalia, Primates, Cercopithecidae. The record is from RefSeq and is a predicted model, not a curated record.
UGAGGUCACACUGAACAGCCUCAUAGAGAAAUCCACCUGGCAAGGAAAUGAGGCCUCCUACAACAGCCAGCAAUGAACUGAGGUCUUCUGCCAACAAUCCUGUGAGUGAGCCAUUUUAGAGUUAAUCCUUCAGCCAUAGUCAAUCCUUUAGAUUACUGUUAGCCCACACAAACAUCUUGGUUGCCGCAUCAUGAGAGACCCUGGGUCAGACCCACCCAGCUAAGCUGCUACCAAAUUCAUGACCUAUGGAAACUGUGCUCAGCAUCUAAACCUAAGGGGAAGUUUACUAGCUUUGAUUUAAUGGAAGCGGUGAGUGUUAUGUAGAAGAUAGAAACGUGCAAGGGGCCACAAUAGAUGACAAAAGCUGCAGAGAAAGGCAUGAAGAGAGAAAUGAAUUAGAAAGUUGGUGCUGAAGAUUCAAAAUGAGAAAAUAGAUACAUGCUGGUGAGUAAACUCUUCCCACUCUCUUUGAUGUCAUUCCGAGAUUCACAGAGAGUAGUGUAAAAGGGACUUCCAGGCAGAGUGAGACAAGAAGUUGAGUCAUAGCACAUUAAAAUUGAGAGCAGUAACAAUUAUUACCAAAUAGGAAUGUUUUCUUCUA